Long non-coding RNA from Leptopilina heterotoma, 1455 nucleotides. RefSeq lists it as uncharacterized. The transcript is spliced from 3 exons. The record is from RefSeq and is a predicted model, not a curated record. NCBI's taxonomy places the organism in Eukaryota, Metazoa, Arthropoda, Insecta, Hymenoptera, Figitidae.
AGCGCUUUUAAUAUGAGUUCCUACCUAGAAAAUUUUCCCGCCCAAAUUGCAUUGAAAAAUAACGGAGAAAUAAAAGAAAAAAAAAUUAAAUUAAACAAACUUUUUUAGUGUCUAUAUUCUAAAUUUUUUUUUCCAAGUGAUUUUAAGUUCCAUCAUCAAAAGUGGAUUUUCGAAAAAAUUCUUCCAGUGCAUUAAUGCUGCGAAAUGAAUCUAUCGAUCAUUUUUUUAUUUCUUGGUAUUUGUUCAAUUCCCAUAAGAAGGAUAAAAGUGACUAAUAAUACGAAUAAACAGUGACAUAAUUUUUUUUCGUUUUAAUAUUAAAAAAAAAAGAAAUUACAAAAGAAGAGUUGUGCGCAAAAGAUUUGAAAAGUGAUGACAAUUGUUUGGAUAUUUAAAAAAAGAGAUAUACAUAAUUAUAUAUCUCUCGCACUGCUUGUGAAAAGUGAAUUAAUCUUCUCAAGAAAAUCUAAGGAAAAAAAGGAGAAAGACAGAGAGAGAGAGAGAUGCCAGAAAAUUCCAAGGAACUUAAAGUGCUUAGUGAAAAGUUUUUUAACUAUAUGAACAAUUCAGAGGAGAGAAAAAAGGAAUAUUUGUGAAAUCUUGAAAUUCCAGUUACUAAUUUACUAUAUAUACAGUUCCUAUUCUCUCUCUUUCUCAUAUUCCAUGCGAUUUUUUUUUAAAUUAAAUUAUAAAGAUAAAAGUCCAUCUGCAGAAAAUACUGGCAAAAAUUCAGUGAGGAAAAACUUCCCGACGAAUCACAUUCUCUGAUCUGAUGGCUUAUUGAAAAGAUAAAAUCAGCAUCAAAAUUGAUUCCGAGAGUAAAAUUCAAUGAACUGAAUACCAAGAAAAGAAAAUAAUCAUGAACGUUCCUGAAUAUUUAUUAAUUCAUUGCUCAAUCUAUUGCCUCUCAUUAUCAAAAGGAUAUUAUUAAAGAAAAAUUAAGGGACAAAAUUCAGUUGAUAUUGAAACUUAACUGAGCCGCGAACUUUUCUUUCGCCCUCAUCAAAGAGUCAAGAAAAGAAGAGAAAAAUGCCUCUGAUUGCGUCCCACAAAUUUAAAAGGUAGAAUUCAUACAGCUCUCUGACACUUACUCAAUUGAAUUAAUUGAAUUAACAUUCAAGCUUACUUGCGCAAUUAAGUUCCCCGAGUUCAGGGACGAAAAUGUACGAAAAGAGAUGACGAAGAGAGAAUAAAGUGACUUCUACUUUCUUGGCGAGUCUCCAUAACGACGCCGAAGAUGAUCGAACGAACACUUUCCAUUAUUUCUCUAACCGAUCACACGUGUCAACAGUGCCAACUUUAUUCCAAAUUCAAACAAAGCUUUUAUGUUUCCCUCUAAACAACAAAUUCCUCCCAUUUUCAAAACUAUAAAUGAAGAGGAAAAAAUUAAAAUUCAAAUUAACAAAAGUGAAGAAAAAAAGUGAAUUUAAAAAAGACUAAUUUUAAACACAAAUA